AUGACGUUAGCGGCGGACGGGUGAGUAACACGUGGGCAACCUGCCUGUAAGACUGGGAUAACUUCGGGAAACCGAAGCUAAUACCGGAUAGGAUCUUCUCCUUCAUGGGAGAUGAUUGAAAGAUGGUUUCGGCUAUCACUUACAGAUGGGCCCGCGGUGCAUUAGCUAGUUGGUGAGGUAACGGCUCACCAAGGCAACGAUGCAUAGCCGACCUGAGAGGGUGAUCGGCCACACUGGGACUGAGACACGGCCCAGACUCCUACGGGAGGCAGCAGUAGGGAAUCUUCCGCAAUGGACGAAAGUCUGACGGAGCAACGCCGCGUGAGUGAUGAAGGCUUUCGGGUCGUAAAACUCUGUUGUUAGGGAAGAACAAGUACGAGAGUAACUGCUCGUACCUUGACGGUACCUAACCAGAAAGCCACGGCUAACUACGUGCCAGCC
This 441-nucleotide ribosomal RNA is filed under the name Bacillus sp. (in: firmicutes). RNAcentral describes it as "bacterial SSU rRNA". It matches the Rfam family "Bacterial small subunit ribosomal RNA", at positions 86 to 513 of the family's 1533-position model. The record is from RNAcentral. Lineage: Bacteria; Bacillati; Bacillota; Bacilli; Caryophanales; Bacillaceae.